Molecule: long non-coding RNA, 836 nt
Organism: Cydia splendana
Lineage: Eukaryota; Metazoa; Arthropoda; Insecta; Lepidoptera; Tortricidae
Exons: 2
Source: RefSeq, a predicted model, not a curated record
UCCAUCGCCUGCCCGGGUAAGGAUUUUCCCGAAAAUCUAAAUUCGCAAAGGGCCUGGGACGACAUACAAUGCAAAAUUACUUAUGACUGUCUUUUAAGCCGCAGUACAGGUUCUGCACGCGCCAGACUGCUAGCAGCCGGUUCCAGCGAGUCCGCCGCUUGGCUGCACGCCUUCCCGUCGGUGCACACCGGCACUUUCCUGGGGCCGCACACUCUGCGCGUUGCGGCCUGCCUGCAACUCGGCGUCCGGGUCUGUGCUCCACAUAGGUGCCCCUGCGGCACUGACGUCGACGCCUUCGGACACCACGGGCUCUCCUGCCAAAGGAGCGCCGGCCGCUUCUCUAGACACGCCGCGCUUAACGAUAUUCUCCGCCGGUCCCUUACCAGCGUCAACGUACCGGCUCUUCUCGAGCCUCCUGGUAUAGUAAGAGACGAUGGUAAGAGACCAGACGGAACGUCACUAAUUCCGUGGAAGAUGGGACGGGUGCUGGUGUGGGACGCCACCUCCGGCGCGGCAGCAGAGACGGCCGAAACAUUAAAAAAGACCAAAUAUAGGGGUCUCGGCCCCGAAUAGAAUUUCGUACCUUUUGGUGUCGAGACCCUUGGCCCGUGGAGUCCGAACGCGUCUACGCUUUUUAAGGAUCUAUCCAAAAGGAUAGCUGACGCCACUGGUGACCGUAGAUCUGGCAGCUUCCUCGCACAAAGAAUAAGUAUUGCGAUACAGCGAGGAAAUGCUGCCAGCAUCUACGGCACCAUUCCGCAGGGGGAUAGUUUUUAAUUAUUUAUUUUAAGAUUAGUUUUAUUUAUUUUUAGAUUUAGUUUUUAAGUUUUGUAGGU